ACGCUCGACACCUACGGGAGCAGCAGUGGGGAAUAUUGCACAAUGGGGGAAACCCUGAUGCAGCAACGCCGCGUGAAGGAAGACGGUUUUCGGAUUGUAAACUUCUGUUCUUAGUGAAGAUAGUGACGGUAGCUAAGGAGCAAGCCACGGCUAACUACGUGUCAGCAGCCGCGGUAAUCUGAGCGGGCUGGCAAGGC
Molecule: ribosomal RNA, 197 nt
Filed under: uncultured bacterium
Lineage: Bacteria
Description: partial 16S ribosomal RNA
Rfam family: Bacterial small subunit ribosomal RNA
Source: RNAcentral